RNAcentral lists this long non-coding RNA (877 nucleotides) under Olea europaea subsp. europaea. The record is from RNAcentral. Lineage: Eukaryota; Viridiplantae; Streptophyta; Magnoliopsida; Lamiales; Oleaceae.
AAUCAAUUAGGUCAAACAAUUUGCAUUAUCAUUAGCACAAAUUCUCCAACUCAAACAAGCUUGACAGAAUAAGCUCUGGAUAAUUUCCAUUCACACUGCUUUUAGUAUACUUAAAUCUUUUUAUUCCCAGCAAAAGAUGGAAUGGCAUACAACCAGUAAUGAGCGAUAUCUUCCACAACAAAAUGCUGAUAAAUUAUCAAAAUAAUUCAACCAAACUAAGUUCAGUUCAAUGCUAUCCUUAAAAAGAAAUGCCACCACUAACUCGUCCCAUGAUUAAAGUUAAAGAAAAGGUAGAAAUGUUGAAACUAACUUUUGUUCUUGAGAGACUUUCUUAGCUUCCUCAACUUGUGCCUGUUCAUCUUUCUUUUCCUCUUCUUCUUCACACUAUCAGCCCAGAUAGUUAGAGGACUCUCAGAAACGGUUUCGUCAUCAGGUUCAGAUCGAAUUGACCCGAUUGAAGAAAAAACUGGGUGCAGAAAAAACCCAAAAGAAAAGCUCGGGUAGAAAUGUGAAGAAAUGGAAGGAUAUAAUCUUGAAUUCGCUAUUUUCUGAUGACCGGAAAGGGGGAUUUCAUCAGCUAAUAUAGUGGGUUCGGAGAUUUGGGUAAGCAGAUAUGCUGGCGGUAAUGACGGAUGGCUGAUCAAUUUUGUGGCGUAUAGAGACUGACUUCUCAAGAAUUUUUGGAAGAUUGAAGCAGCCAUUUGCUGACUAUAAAAAAAUUGAGAGAGCGGUAGAAAAUUGAAAGAGGGGAAGAAAAAAAUGUUUGUUAGGGUGUCGGAAUAGUGGUUUUUUGGGUAAUUUCACCGCCAAUUUCAAGACAUAAACGAUUACUUUCAACAAAUGUUUAAGUGACUAUUGAAUUUUGCUAUAAACGUUU